Molecule: microRNA precursor, 172 nt
Filed under: Pelobates cultripes (western spadefoot toad)
Lineage: Eukaryota; Metazoa; Chordata; Amphibia; Anura; Pelobatidae
Source: RNAcentral
CAGCAGACACAUUCCAGCCAAUCAGCAGUAGACCCUCCCUCCCAGACCCUCCCACCUCCUGGACAGCAUCCAUUUUACAUUCAUUGUGAAGCUGUAUUCUUCGUGAGCUGUCCAGGAGGUGGGAGGGUCUUCGAGGGAGGGUCUGCUGUUGAUUGGCUGGAAUGUGUCUGCU